This 254-nucleotide ribosomal RNA is filed under the name uncultured bacterium. RNAcentral's name for it is "partial 16S ribosomal RNA". It matches the Rfam family "Bacterial small subunit ribosomal RNA", at positions 524 to 776 of the family's 1533-position model. The record is from RNAcentral.
CACGUAGGGACCAAGCGUUGUCCGGAUUCAUUGGGCGUAAAGAGCUCGUAGGCGGUUCGAUAAGUCGGGUGUGAAACCUCCAGGCUCAACCUGGAGACGCCACCCGAUACUGUCGUGACUAGAGUCCAGUAGGGGAGCGUGGAAUUCCUGGUGUAGCGGUGAAAUGCGCAGAUAUCAGGAGGAACACCAGCGGCGAAGGCGGCGCUCUGGGCUGGAACUGACGCUGAGGCGCGAAAGCGUGGGGAGCAAACAGG